GAGCGGCCCCCCCCGGGCUGGCAGGGUCGCCACCGCUGUUUGAAUCUAUUCCGGGAGGUUUCAUUACAUGACAUGGAUGACUACAUCAGGAAGUUACAGCCUCUUCAGUUAACUCCUAUGCACAAAGAAUGAAGCCCUACUAUGGUGGAACUUGCAAGUAUAAAAGGACCAUCUGCAAGGAGCAAAUUGUAGGAUCAGGGCCUUAAUUAUUAGGCAUUCCAUAUUUCUUGGAAAACGGAUUGGGUGAACGGCAUUAAUUCAGUUUUAGUCCUUCCUAUGAUUGAAAUCCAAAGACAACAAGUAAAAGUGGCUGCUUGAAGAUCUUUUUUCCUGAUAACCACACCAUAGGAAUGGUUAAAAUUAGAUCUGUCAUUUUAAAGGGAGUAGUCAUCAAUUCUUGAAGAAACCAUAUCUAAUUCAGCAUUGUCCUUACUGCUUUUCAACAGAUGGUCUCUCAAAUUAAACCAGAUAAGAUAUACAGACAAGUUUCUCUUCUGCAAAGCUCAGUGAAGUCAGGCAUCCCCGGUCAGCGCUGUCUGAAGGGUACCGGGAAAGACCCUGGUAUUCAGUCCUCGGGCUCGAGAUCCAUGGGCCUACCGAAAGCAGGUAUGUUGGUUCCAUGGUGGAUGUCUUCUUUGAAUAUGAUAUGCUGUACUCUUGGUGGGAAACAAAAGGAGACUCCCAAGGCGCACGGAGUAUGACACCAUGUAAGUGAACAGGUGUGGUAUAGAAGGCAGCAGCAAACCAGCAUCAAUAGCUGCAGGAGGAGAAGCAGCAGUUCCCUUCUCAGCACAUCUGUGAAUUAUUUAAUUUUCAGCCCUUUCCAUUAAGGGUUUUUCUUUCCCUCUGCAGUUCCUCAUUCUUUUCCGUUGAAAGACUACUCUUCCUUUCUAAGAUUUUCU
Molecule: long non-coding RNA, 902 nt
Filed under: Crocodylus porosus (Australian saltwater crocodile)
Lineage: Eukaryota; Metazoa; Chordata; Crocodylia; Crocodylidae
Description: lncRNA (ENSCPRG00005014897.1)
Source: RNAcentral